UCCACGCCCUAAACGAUGAGUGCUGGGUAUCGGGCUUUGGCUCGGCGCCGUAGCUAACGCGUUAAGCACUCCGCCUGGGGAGUACGGCCGCAAGGCUGAAACUCAAAGGAAUUGACGGGGGCCCGCACAAGCGGUGGAGCAUGUGGUUUAAUUCGAAGCAACGCGAAGAACCUUACCAGGCCUUGACAUGCCCCGAACCCCUGGAAACAGGGGG
RNAcentral lists this ribosomal RNA (214 nucleotides) under uncultured bacterium. RNAcentral's name for it is "partial 16S ribosomal RNA". It matches the Rfam family "Bacterial small subunit ribosomal RNA", at positions 794 to 1013 of the family's 1533-position model. The record is from RNAcentral.